GCACAAGCGGUGGAGCAUGUGGUUUAAUUCGAUGCAACGCGAAGAACCUUACCUGGGCUUGACAUGUCCGGAAUUCUGCAGAGAUGCGGGAGUGCCCUUCGGGGAAUCGGAACACAGGUGCUGCAUGGCUGUCGUCAGCUCGUGUCGUGAGAUGUUGGGUUAAGUCCCGCAACGAGCGCAACCCUUGUCCUUAGUUGCCAGCGGUUCGGCCGGGCACUCUAGGGAGACUGCCGGUGACAAACCGGAGGAAGGUGGGGAUGACGUCAAGUCCUCAUGGCCUUUAUGUCCAGGGCUACACACGUGCUACAAUGGCGCGUACAGAGGGAAGCCAAGCCGCGAGGUGGAGCAGACCCCAGAAAGCGCGUCGUAGUUCGGAUUGCAGUCUGCAACUCGACUGCAUGAAGUCGGAAUCGCUAGUAAUCGCGGAUUAGCAUGCCGCGGUGAAUACGUUCCCGGGC
RNAcentral lists this ribosomal RNA (458 nucleotides) under uncultured bacterium. Its description in RNAcentral is "bacterial SSU rRNA". It matches the Rfam family "Bacterial small subunit ribosomal RNA", at positions 923 to 1379 of the family's 1533-position model. The record is from RNAcentral.